Molecule: non-coding RNA, 766 nt
Organism: Pundamilia nyererei
Lineage: Eukaryota; Metazoa; Chordata; Actinopteri; Cichliformes; Cichlidae
Source: the annotation of a RefSeq genome assembly
GAAGUGUUUCACUGUGUGAAUGAUGGGACGGGAAAACUCGUGUUUGGAGACGGAACCGAGCUGAAAAUAGAGAAAAGGACAGAGUACAAGCCAUCCUAUUUCAAAGUGGGAAAAGGCAACAAUACGGCGUGCCUGGCAACUGGGUUCAGCAGACACAAUGCAACAUCACAUCAUUGGAAUUAUAGCGUGGAAUUCAAUACGACAAAAGCUGUGGCAAUAUCACCAAACUUGGAUCUGUACAACCAGGUGAUUUUUCCAGGGAAGGAUGCAAGGAUUUGUGAAUAUCCAGGCAGUGGUGACAGCAAAUGUGUUGAUGUUUUGGAGCCAGAUCCAAAGGUGAACCUCAUGUCUCUGACCAUCCUGGCUCUCAGAGUGAUCUUCAUCAAGACCAUCAUCUUUAACAUCAUCAUGACUCUGCGGCUGUGGAUUAGUCAGUAAACUUCACAGAAAUCCCAAGAGGACAACUUUCUGUGUGACUGGAUGAAACUUGAAGUUCACUGAGCUUCAGCGUGUAUAUCAUGUAUAAAUAUCAUAUUACCUGUUUAUCAUACCAUCUGUUAAUAACUCUCUAUAGAAGUUAUCCUUUAAUACAUUGUUGAUUGAUCCAAAAAGUUUGAUUUUAUGUUAUCUUUACAUAUUGUCACUGAUGUUUUUUAUGAAUGAAUUAAACUCUGUGUCGCUUGAUGAUGUAAAUGUCACAGUUAUGUUUAACAGAUUGUUCUUUCAAUUACUUCUUUGUGUGAUGUGGUAAUAAAAGCUAAAAAAA